AGAGUUUGAUCCUGGCUCAGGAUGAACGCUGGCGGCGUGCUUAACACAUGCAAGUCGAACGAUGAAGCCUGGUGCUUGCACCGGGUGGAUUAGUGGCGAACGGGUGAGUAUCACGUGAGUAACCUGCCCUUGACUCUGGGAUAAGCCUGGGAAACUGGGUCUAAUACCGGAUACGACCAGUCACCGCAUGGUGUGCUGGUGGAAAGCUUUAGCGGUUUUGGAUGGACUCGCGGCCUAUCAGCUAGACGGUGAGGUAAUGGCUCACUGUGGCGAUGACGGGUAGCCGGCCUGAGAGGGUGACCGGCCACACUGGGACUGAGACACGGCCCAGACUCCUACGGGAGGCAGCAGUGGGGAAUAUUGCACAAUGGGCGAAAGCCUGAUGCAGCGACGCCGCGUGUGGGAUGACGGCCUUCGGGUUGUAAACCACUUUCAGCAGGGAAGAAGCUUUUUGUGACGGUACCUGCAGAAGAAGCGCCGGCUAACUACGUGCCAGCAGCCGCGGUAAUACGUAGGGCGCGAGCGUUAUCCGGAAUUAUUGGGCGUAAAGAGCUCGUAGGCGGUUUGUCGCGUCUGCUGUGAAAGCCCGGGGCUUAACCCCGGGUGUGCAGUGGGUACGGGCAGACUAGAGUGCAGUAGGGGAGACUGGAAUUCCUGGUGUAGCGGUGAAAUGCGCAGAUGUCAGGAGGAACACCGAUGGCGAAGGCAGGUCUCUGGGCUGUUACUGACGCUGAGGAGCGAAAGCAUGGGGAGCGAACAGGAUUAGAUACCCUGGUAGUCAAGGGCGAAUUCGUUUAA
RNAcentral lists this ribosomal RNA (798 nucleotides) under uncultured bacterium. RNAcentral describes it as "bacterial SSU rRNA". It matches the Rfam family "Bacterial small subunit ribosomal RNA", at positions 8 to 813 of the family's 1533-position model. The record is from RNAcentral.